CCUGGCGGCCGUAGCGCGGUGGUCCCACCUGACCCAAUGCCGAACUCAGAAGUGAAACGCCGUAGCGCCGAUGGUAGUGUGGGGUCUCCCCAUGCGAGAGUAGGGAACUGCCAGGC
This 116-nucleotide ribosomal RNA is filed under the name Escherichia coli. The record is from RNAcentral. Lineage: Bacteria; Pseudomonadati; Pseudomonadota; Gammaproteobacteria; Enterobacterales; Enterobacteriaceae. RNAcentral also lists the same sequence under 1 other name.